Molecule: unclassified non-coding RNA, 2270 nt
Filed under: Dimorphilus gyrociliatus
Lineage: Eukaryota; Metazoa; Annelida; Polychaeta; Dinophilidae
Description: dgyrCDS12647
Source: RNAcentral
AUAUUAAGGUGAAGGUCAUCGGCAGAAGUUACAGCUGAUCUAGUUUAUUUCGGUUUUUUUAUAUGAUUGCUAGACCAUUCAUUAUCAAAGAAUUACGUUUACAUGGCUACAAAAAAAAAUAAUUAAUGCUACCAAACAAUAGUGUAAAAUUAUUAUUUUAAAGACAGAAAGAUUGUUUUCUUGCAGUCUGAGCAUGGAGAAAUUUAUUAUGUGGAGGAUAAGAUCGUGCCAGUCAAUACUACCAAAAUUUAAUGCAAAAGGAUUUAAUCAAUCCUACUCAAGUUCAUCUAGUAAUUACAAUUACAAAGAAGAUUGUGAGCAGAUCUUUCAGAAGGCUGUAGAUGCUGUUUUGCCUCACAACGCAGUCAAGAAAUUCCUACAUUUAAAUGAUAAUAUUUUAACGAUAUCCGAUCGAUCCUACGAACUGAAUCGCAACGUUCAUGUUAUAGCAGCUGGUAAAGCAGUUCUGGGUAUGGUGAGAGCCACCCAGGACGUCUUAGGCGAUCAUAUUGUUGGCGGUAUUGCGAGUGUUCCUUACGGCAUACAAGAAACUCUAAAAAAGUCUGGAAAAUGGGAAAUGAUACCAAAGGAACAAAGCUCAUUUCAAAUCUGUGAAGGAGCAAAGAAUAAUGCACCUGAUACGAACUCACUCGCAACUUCCAAAAAAAUCCAUGAUCUUGCCACAUCUUUACAAGGCUCGGAUAUUAUGCUUACUCUACUAUCCGGAGGUGGAUCGGCUUUAUUACCUUUACCUAAACCGCCUAUAACUUUGGAAGAAAUGAGAGAGAUGGUUGCAAUUAUGGUUAAACAUGCUGCCACCAUAAGUGAUGUAAAUACAGUACGAAAGCAUACAGAAGUUCUUAAAGGCGGUGGCCUAGCUUAUGCUGCAGGGAAUGCUAGUGUUAUAUCUCUUAUUCUAUCAGAUAUAAUCGGAGAUCCAAUAGAUAAAAUCGCAUCAGGACCGACUGUAACUGAUUUUUCAAAGCCAGAAACUUGUAUGGAAAUCUUUAGAGAUCUUAACGUUACGGAUAAAAUUCCAAAGUCAAUAAUUAAAGUGGUCGAAAAUGAAAUUUCAGAAUUUUCUGGACAUAGUGCACUUCCUGUGAUAAGAGAAAUUUACGCCCAUAAUGUCAUUGUAGGUAAUAAUAAACUUGCUGUGUCAGCUGCAAAUAAGGCAGCUGAAGCCUUAGGGUAUAGGACUUUUGUUUUAUCUACUGAGUUAUGCGGCGAAGCAAGAGAUAUUGGAGAAAUAUUCGCUUUUUUUGCCGGGGCUAUCGUCGAUGUCGUUAGUGGGGAUAAAGCUAAAUUUGAUUCUAAACAAAGAUUAGAAGAUUCGUUUGGAAUUUCUGAAAAUGUGAUAAACUGCGUCACAUCACUGGCAGCCUCGGCUCUUAAAUACGGUGAACGAUUUUGUAUGUUAGGAGCUGGCGAAACUGUUGUUAACCUUAAAGGAAAUGGUAAAGGUGGGCGAAAUGGUGAAAUUGCUUUAUCAUCAGCUCUUGUAUUUGAUUUACUUUCCGAAAAAUUAAGAGACUACGAUAUAAAUAUUCUAUCUGCUGGAACAGACGGCCAAGAUGGCCCUACCGAAUCUGCCGGAGCUUUUAGCCAUACUCAUCUUAUACAAGAAGCAAAAGAACAAAAUAUUGAUGCAAAUACUUACCUUGAAAAUAAUGACACUUUUCAUUUUUUUCAAAAGGUCAGUAAUGGCGAAAAUUUAUUUGUUACUGGUAUGACGGGUACAAAUGUUAUGGACCUACACAUAAUGACUGUAGCGAGAAAAUCAUAAUCGAUUACUCUCUUUAAAACUUUUCUUUCCUUCAUUGAUUCAAUCUUUAAACAAUAUUUUUGUCAUGAACAUUUAUUUUCCUUCAGUUUGUGUUAAUUAGUUAAACGUAUAAGAGAUUUACAAGAUCGAAAUUGCAGAGAAUAAAUAUCAAAUUUAGUUUCAACAUACGUGCGAAGAAGUUCAUUGAAUAAAGUAUUCAUAUUAGACAGAUUUUAUUCUCGUUUCAUUGACAUAUUAAAUAAAAUAAAUAAAAUACAGGUUACUUUCGAAAUUUUCAUACGAUUUUUAUGUUUUACUAUACAAUUUUAAACGUAUUACUAAUUAAUAUACAUAUAUAUAUAUUAAUUUAUAUAUAAACUGCAUUUAAUUUGUGUAUAUUUGUAUAAAAAAAAAUUAUUUUAUGAAAAUUUUUCAAUAUAAAAAAAUAAUAAUAAAAGGAGAAAAUUGUACCGACUGGAAUUCUCUCUCUCUCUCUCUCUCUCUC